AAUAACUCAAUUCCUGAGUUUUUGUGUCCAACAUUUGACUGUCCGUUUUAUUUGAAAAAAUUAUGAAAAAAAAAUUAAAAAAAUAAGUCACACAUAAAGUAUUAUUUAUGUUUUAUCAUUUAACAACAAUGAAAAUACUAAUUAAAAAAAUCAUAUAAGACGAACAGUCAAACGUAGGACACGAAAACCCAGGAAUUGAGUCUUU
RNAcentral lists this microRNA precursor (205 nucleotides) under Oryza sativa Japonica Group (Japanese rice). Its description in RNAcentral is "MIR812 microRNA precursor family". It matches the Rfam family "MIR812 microRNA precursor family". The record is from Rfam by way of RNAcentral. Lineage: Eukaryota; Viridiplantae; Streptophyta; Magnoliopsida; Poales; Poaceae.